CGGCGUGGAUUAGGCAUGCAAGUCGAGCGAGACCUGUAGCAAUACGGGAAAAGCGGCGAAAGGGAGAGUAAUACGUAGGUACCUACCCUCGGGUCUGGGAUAGCUGCGGGAAACUGCAAUUAAUACCGGAUGACGUCUCUGGACCAAAGGUGUGAUUCCGCCAGGGGAUGGGCCUUCGCCCUAUUAGCUAGUUGGUGUGGUAAUGGCGCACCAAGGCAAAGAUGGGUACGGGGUGUGAGAGCAUGCCCCCGCUCACUGGGACUGAGACACUGCCCAGACACCUACGGGUGGCUGCAGUCGAGGAUCUUCCGCAAUGGGCGCAAGCCUGACGGAGCGACGCCGCGUGCGGGAUGAAGGCUUUCGGGUUGUAAACCGCUGUCAGUGGGGAGCAAAUGCAUCAGGGUUCUCUCUGGUGUUUGAGCGAUCCGCAGAGGAAGCACAGGCUAAUUCCGUGCCAGCAGCCGCGGUAAUACGGAAUGUGCAAACGUUAUUCGGAAUCACUGGGCUUAA
This 510-nucleotide ribosomal RNA is filed under the name uncultured organism. Its description in RNAcentral is "bacterial SSU rRNA". It matches the Rfam family "Bacterial small subunit ribosomal RNA", at positions 40 to 563 of the family's 1533-position model. The record is from RNAcentral.